CAAUCUUGGAAACCCAAGUGAUGCAGAGCCAAGAGUCAAGGGGUAGCAGCCCAUCUCAGGAAAGUACAAUUUCGUUCUCAGAAUUGCCCUGGAUCAUGAAACUGCAAGAGGAAGACCUGCAGAGGUCCUGGCCGCUAGAAGUUCUUCCCUUGAACUCGUUCCUUGGGAGACUGUCAUUUUUAACUUUGGACUCAGUAAGCAAUUUCUCAGCUAACGGGCUUGCCUACCUGUUCGGUGAGACGCUCUGGCAUGGCUACUUAGGAGCUGGCGAACUUGGACAACUCAUCCCGCUUCUGUCCACCUCCUUAUCUGACAAUGGAGAUAAUAGUAUUUAUCUUAAUAGGGCUUUUGUGAAGAUUGAGCCGUGUGAUAAUAAAAGCGAAAGUCUUUAGCUGACCUACCCACCACCUCCUUCAGAUGCUUGGGCUGUGCCACUGCCUAUGGUGCUCUGAUCGUCACUUCUCGACUCCUUUCCAUUCUCUGCAAUAAAAAAUAGUUGAGGUUUACCUGUUGCUUGGUACUGUUCAGAGCUUUUGCAUAUAUGGUAUUGUUUUAUCCUCAGUAACAAUAUUUUAGACAGAAGAGAAUUGAGGCCCAGAGAUGGAAUGUGAAG
RNAcentral lists this long non-coding RNA (613 nucleotides) under Dasypus novemcinctus (nine-banded armadillo). Its description in RNAcentral is "lncRNA (ENSDNOG00000050337.1)". The record is from RNAcentral. Lineage: Eukaryota; Metazoa; Chordata; Mammalia; Cingulata; Dasypodidae.